Molecule: ribosomal RNA, 407 nt
Filed under: uncultured bacterium
Lineage: Bacteria
Description: partial 16S ribosomal RNA
Rfam family: Bacterial small subunit ribosomal RNA
Source: RNAcentral
AUUGAACGCUAGCGGGAUGCCUUACACAUGCAAGUCGAACGGAGUGGCGAACGGGUGAGUAAUGUAUCGGUACGUGCCCAGUAGCGGGGGAUAACUACGCGAAAGCGUAGCUAAGACCGCAUACUUUUGCAGCGGCCGAUAUCGGAUUAGCUAGUGGGUGGGGUAACGGCUCACCAAGGCGACGACCCGUAGCUGGUUUGAGAGGACGACCAGCCAAACUGGGACUGAGACACGGCCCAGACUCCUACGGGAGGCAGCAGUGGGGAAUUUUGGACAAUGGGGGAAAGCCUGAUCCAGCCAUCCCGCGUGUGGGAUGAAGGCCUUAGGGUUGUAAAGCACUUUUGGCAGGAAAGCGGUACCUGCAGAAGAAGCACCGGCUAACUACGUGCCAGCAGCCGCGGUAAUUC